This 25-nucleotide non-coding RNA is filed under the name Mus musculus (house mouse). Lineage: Eukaryota; Metazoa; Chordata; Mammalia; Rodentia; Muridae. The record is from RNAcentral.
UGCUAGUGCCAGGACAUCUGCUAUC